Molecule: transfer RNA, 61 nt
Filed under: Amynthas cucullatus
Lineage: Eukaryota; Metazoa; Annelida; Clitellata; Crassiclitellata; Megascolecidae
Description: tRNA-Leu
Source: RNAcentral
AGUGUGUUGGCAGAGUAGUGCAAUUGACUUAGGAUCAAUCUAUGGAAUAUACCACACACUA